AGCAGCCGCGGUAAUUCCAGCUCCAAUAGCGUAUAUUAAAGUUGUUGCAGUUAAAAAGCUCGUAGUUGAAUUUCGGGAUCAGCAGGUUGGUCGUGCCUCUGGUAUGCACUGGUUUCGCUGAUUCCUCCUUUCUGAAGAACUGUAAUGUCAUUAAUUUGGUGUUGCAGGGAAACAGGACUGUUACUUUGAAAAAAUUAGAGUGUUUAAAGCAGGCUAACGCUUGAAUACAUUAGCAUGGAAUAAUGAAAUAGGACGUUUGAUCCUAUUUUGUUGGUUUCUAGGAUUGACGUAAUGAUUAAUAGGGAUAGUUGGGGGCAUUAGUAUUCAAUUGUCAGAGGUGAAAUUCUUGGAUUUAUUGAAGACUAACUACUGCGAAAGCAUUUGCCAAGGAUGUUUUCAUUAAUCAAGAACGAAAGUUAGGGGAUCGAAGACGAUCAGAUACCGUCGUAGUCUUAACCAUAAACUAUGCCGACUAGGGAUCGGAUGAUGUUAAUUUUUUAAUGAGCUCA
RNAcentral lists this ribosomal RNA (509 nucleotides) under uncultured fungus. RNAcentral describes it as "SSU rRNA". It matches the Rfam family "Eukaryotic small subunit ribosomal RNA", at positions 569 to 1078 of the family's 1831-position model. Lineage: Eukaryota; Fungi. The record is from RNAcentral.